UACGGAGGGUGCGAGCGUUAAUCGGAAUUACUGGGCGUAAAGCGCACGCAGGCGGUUUGUUAAGCUAGAUGUGAAAGCCCCGGGCUCAACCUGGGAUGGUCAUUUAGAACUGGCAGACUAGAGUCUUGGAGAGGGGAGUGGAAUUCCAGGUGUAGCGGUGAAAUGCGUAGAUAUCUGGAGGUACAUCAGUGGCGAAGGCGACUCCCUGGCCAAAGACUGACGCUCAUGUGCGAAAGUGUGGGUAGCGAACAGC
Molecule: ribosomal RNA, 253 nt
Filed under: uncultured bacterium
Lineage: Bacteria
Description: partial 16S ribosomal RNA
Rfam family: Bacterial small subunit ribosomal RNA
Source: RNAcentral